AAGGUUCGUUUGUUCAACGAUUAAUAGUCCUACGUGAUCUGAGUUCAGACCGGAGUAAUCCAGGUCGGUUUCUAUCUAUGUAGUUGCUUACUACAGUACGAAAGGACCUAGAAAGCAGGACCAAUACUAAAAGCAAGUCCUAUGCAAUAAGGCUGACAACAACUAAAGCCUUACAACAAAAUACACAACACCUGAAGACAACAGGCUGUUA
RNAcentral lists this ribosomal RNA (211 nucleotides) under Callisaurus draconoides. RNAcentral's name for it is "partial 16S ribosomal RNA". It matches the Rfam family "Archaeal large subunit ribosomal RNA", at positions 2637 to 2913 of the family's 2987-position model. Lineage: Eukaryota; Metazoa; Chordata; Lepidosauria; Squamata; Phrynosomatidae. The record is from RNAcentral.